GACGUAGGGGGCCAGCGUUGUUCGGAAUUACUGGGUGUAAAGGGUUCGUAGGCGGUGCGGCAAGUCGGGAGUGAAAUCUCUGGGCUUAACCCAGAGGCUGCUUCCGAAACUGCUGUGCUUGAGUGUGGGAGAGGCGCGUGGAAUUGCAGGUGUAGCGGUGAAAUGCGUAGAUAUCAGGAGGAACACCGGUGGCGAAGGCGGGUCUCUGGGCCGAUACUGACGCUGAGGAGCGAAAGCGUGGGGAGCAAACAGG
This 253-nucleotide ribosomal RNA is filed under the name uncultured bacterium. RNAcentral's name for it is "partial 16S ribosomal RNA". It matches the Rfam family "Bacterial small subunit ribosomal RNA", at positions 524 to 776 of the family's 1533-position model. The record is from RNAcentral.